AACCACUUUGUUGGUGGCUUGAGGUGAACAGAGGCAAGAGGACUCGGUUUCAUUGUCUGAUUUGGUUUGUGAUUGCCGUGAUUGAUUCAAGGUGUUCAGAUUAGUUCUUUCUUCUUGUAGGAAAAACGGCAUUGGAAUUUCAGUAGAAUAAAUCAAGGUCGAAGAUGAUGAUGGGAUUAUGCAUGGGAGACAUUAGUUUGCAGGUUUAUGAUGAGGCAAAUCUUUGUUGUUAGUAUGGGUGACAAACAGUAUGCAGUAGCGAGAAUGGAUAGGGAAAGAUAACCAGGAUAUGUAUGCGGCGUGCGGGACAUUCAAUGGCAAACAUAUAUGCGCAGUAAAACAUACAUAAGUAGUAAAGUACAAAGGCAUUCUAGCAGCUUUAGAUAUUCAACAAUGAUCAUAUAUAAGCGGCAAAGCACAAAGGUAUUCAUUGUAAAUAAACUACAAUAAGUUUACUCAGUUACCACUUGGAGCUUCCUUAGUACGGUUGCUGUGACAGGAAGGAUGAAGCUGGUGCUGAUGGGAAGAAAGUAGGCUACUAUAGUAGCUGAAUUUCUGUGCUAUUGCUAACUUCGUACCGCUGAUGAUCUCCUCUCUUCCCUUGGCUGGCUUCUCUUUUGUUUCUUUGUAGGUGAACGGAGGUUGCAGAUGUGCGAUGGAUGGUAUCUCCACUUGAGAAAGGAAAUAAUUGGGUAGAGGAUUGUGCUUGUGUGCGUGAUGGAGGAACGGUUUCUGUUGAGUGAAUAGAAAGUGGUUCGGAGCUGAGAGUAGUGUCCCCUCCCCUGAUGUUGGUGCCUCCUCCUGUAAGUGUAAGUGGGUUCCUUUUUUGGCAUUUAGUCUGCCAGCAUCAACUGAGAACCAAACGUCGUCUGCCAAAGCUGCUGUCAAACGCCAUUCUCCUUUGACGUAUAAUUUUGAUUGCGUGUAGAGGUGUUUGUGGUUGUGUGUUGCAGGAUCAAAUGCAUUUCAGGAUGGAAAUCUUAAUUUGUGUUUGCGUAGGGUGAGAAUGGGGAGAAGCCAGUCUGUUAUUUCCACAAACAGAACAUAGUUGACUAUAGUGUUUUUUCUAUUUUUCUUUUUGUUAUUUUGUUUUUUUUUAUUGUUAUUUUAUUUUUUUUUUCUUCUUAACAGCACCGAUUUUGAGUUUAAAAUAUAUAAAAAAAAAUAAAAUAAAUAAAUAAUAAAAGAAAAAAAAGGUGAAAACUAAUAGAUAAAAAUAAAAAACAAUAAAUUAGAAUAAAAAUGAUAAACUUAACAAAAGAAAAGUGCUUAACAGUAAAAGAAAAGGAAAGACGAAAUAACAUAAAAAGAAAAUAAAAAACAAAAAAAAAUAAAGUAAAAUAAAUAAAAUAAUAAUAAUAAAAUAAAAUAAAAUAAUAAUAAUAAAAUAAAAUAAAAUUUAACAAUAAUAAUAAAAAUAAAAUAAAAAAAAAGAUAAAAAACAAAAAUAACCUAAAUAAAAAUUAAUAAAAGUAAAGAUAUAAAUACAAAAAUAAAAGAAAAGAAAAUUAAGAUAGAAAUGAUUUCGUUUGUUUUUUUUUAUUUAUUUAACUACCCGGACGAAAUUGGGUAUUGACACUCUCAUCUUGGUCAUUCUUCAACCAUCUUGUCAUCAAAUCUUUGUGGUUCAUCACACGAGCUUUCGUCAUCAUCUCGUCUCACAUUAGCUCUGCCUACAACGCCUCUUCAAAAACACGAGAUCUGGAAGAAUUGAG
Molecule: long non-coding RNA, 1715 nt
Filed under: Vigna radiata
Lineage: Eukaryota; Viridiplantae; Streptophyta; Magnoliopsida; Fabales; Fabaceae
Description: long non-coding RNA (VRAD_LNC007776)
Source: RNAcentral